GGAGGGGGUCCCGAGCGGCCAAACGGGGCAGCCUGUAAAUCUGUUGGCUCACCCUUCGAAGGUUCGAAUCCGUCUCCCUCCACCU
Molecule: transfer RNA, 85 nt
Filed under: Haemophilus influenzae
Lineage: Bacteria; Pseudomonadati; Pseudomonadota; Gammaproteobacteria; Pasteurellales; Pasteurellaceae
Description: tRNA-Tyr
Rfam family: tRNA
About the family: Transfer RNA (tRNA) molecules are approximately 80 nucleotides in length. Their secondary structure includes four short double-helical elements and three loops (D, anti-codon, and T loops).
Source: RNAcentral